RNAcentral lists this long non-coding RNA (227 nucleotides) under Sorghum bicolor (sorghum). RNAcentral describes it as "long non-coding RNA (SBIC_LNC013263)". The record is from RNAcentral. Lineage: Eukaryota; Viridiplantae; Streptophyta; Magnoliopsida; Poales; Poaceae.
CACGGUGGGCGUCCUUGCUGCCCUCAUCACAUCACCCUCUGCCCGGCGAAUGGGCCAUGAUGUCACGUGCCGCCGCGGUGCCAAACCAAACGAGGCACAAACCUCACCUCCGCUGGAUGAGCUCAUAUGCGGAGGAUAUACUACCUAGGCCUAGGCCUUGCGUAGUUGGCAAAAUUUUUAGAUUUUAAAGCCUUGUUUACUUUCACCCAAAAUUAAAAAACUUUUCA